CUCCUUAACUUGAGGGUGAACAACUUAAAGCUUGAUCCUACAGAGUUACCUGAAAAGUGAUUUGAGUAUUCAUUGAACUGAAAGAACAAAUCGCCUACUUCAGGCGGUGGGAAGCGUAUGGAAAUUAUAUUAGAACUUCAGCAAAGUGCACAGCUGCAUAAUAGAGAAGCCGGCACUCAGAUUGACAGGCAAAUAAGCCAGCUUGUGGAAGGGGCCUCUGGGUGGCAGCUCUGGGCUUUUGGGUGUUGGACAACCAUAGGCAAAACUGAAAUGGAACAGGGGCAGAAAAUAGCACACUUUUACUCUACGCAACUGUUGCUUUUUCAUGAUCUUCCUGAAUUUUCCUGGGAUAAUUUUCCAAAGAGAAUUCCAAGCAUUCUAUUCAAAUGGUUAUUGAUUAUUAAAAUGGCACUGAAAUGAGAUAGCUCCAAAAUAACAGAGCUCUUUCUGAGAUGAGGAGAACUCUUAAUGUCAAGAUUUGAACAAGAAGAGAAUGGAAUACACAUAU
Molecule: long non-coding RNA, 508 nt
Organism: Cebus imitator (Panamanian white-faced capuchin)
Lineage: Eukaryota; Metazoa; Chordata; Mammalia; Primates; Cebidae
Exons: 4
Source: RefSeq, a predicted model, not a curated record